Molecule: non-coding RNA, 854 nt
Organism: Gallus gallus (chicken)
Lineage: Eukaryota; Metazoa; Chordata; Aves; Galliformes; Phasianidae
Source: the annotation of a RefSeq genome assembly
GCCCCGGCACGGCCCGACGAGGGGCGGCCCGAGCGCGGCCCCGCUCUGCUGCUGUCCGCCUCCCGGGCAGACGGCAGCGGCGCGGCGGGGCGCGAUGGCGGCCGGGCUGGGGCCGUGGCUGCUGGCCUUGGCCUUGGGGCCGGCAGGUGUAUUUCUGAGAGAUGAAAUCCAUGCAAAGAAGUCUGCAGUGACGGUGCAAGCAGGGUGGACAGAGACCCUGCAAUGUACCUACAGCUCCAGCGCUUCCUAUAUUUACGUGGCCUGGUACCGGCAGCUUCCCAACAGGUCCCUGCAGUAUUUGCUUCAGAGCAAGGGCCGAGGAGGCUCAUACAACCAUACAGCCCCUUUUGCCCGCCUGAGGUUUUCAUCCCAGGCUGACGAGAGCUCUGGGACGCUGGUCAUCAGUGGGCUACAGCUGGAAGACAGCGCACUCUAUCUCUGCACCCUGCUGGGACCACAGUGAGAGACAGCCCUGGGUUGCUCAGACAAUAUCACCAUCGUCCACUCCUCCCCUCCAUCUUGUCCUUUUGCAGCCCAGCAUGAGCAGGGGGGAGAUAGGGACAGGAGGAAGGAGUCCAGAGCUGCAGGGAGAAGCGCAGGGGAUGCAGAUGGAACUGAAAUGAGGUGAAUGGAAUAAAAUUCGUCCAAGCAGAUUUCUGCAUGAUGCCUCUCCUCUCGUGGGAGGAGAGGGAGGCCAAGGAAGGAUGUCGGUGCGGGACUCGGGGAGGCACGUGGAAGGAAUGGCUGCAGACCGAGAGAGCCCGUGCGUGGGGGCAGCCGUGAUGUGUCCGACCGAGGAGCGCGGAGCCAAGGAGUGCCGGGGCGGCGCGCUCCGCCUCUGCCCCUCGCGCUGC